UUUGAACGCUGGCGGCAUGCUUUACACAUGCAAGUCGAACGGCAGCGCGGGCUUCGGCCUGGCGGCGAGUGGCGAACGGGUGAGUAAUGCAUCGGAACGUGCCCAGUAGUGGGGGAUAGCCCGGCGAAAGCCGGAUUAAUACCGCAUACGACCUGAGGGUGAAAGCGGGGGACCGAAAGGCCUCGCGCUAUUGGAGCGGCCGAUGUCGGAUUAGCUAGUUGGUGGGGUAAAGGCUUACCAAGGCGACGAUCCGUAGCUGGUCUGAGAGGACGACCAGCCACACUGGGACUGAGACACGGCCCAGACUCCUACGGGAGGCAGCAGUGGGGAAUUUUGGACAAUGGGGGCAACCCUGAUCCAGCCAUGCCGCGUGCGGGAAGAAGGCCUUCGGGUUGUAAACCGCUUUUGUUCGGGAAGAAAUCCUCUGGGCUAAUACCCCGGGGGGAUGACGGUACCGGAAGAAUAAGCGCCGGCUAACUACGUG
This 484-nucleotide ribosomal RNA is filed under the name uncultured bacterium. Its description in RNAcentral is "partial 16S ribosomal RNA". It matches the Rfam family "Bacterial small subunit ribosomal RNA", at positions 29 to 507 of the family's 1533-position model. The record is from RNAcentral.